RNA transcript from Prunus dulcis (almond), 737 nucleotides. It is a transcript of the gene named protein NUCLEAR FUSION DEFECTIVE 6, chloroplastic/mitochondrial, with no coding region annotated. The record is from RefSeq and is a predicted model, not a curated record. Lineage: Eukaryota; Viridiplantae; Streptophyta; Magnoliopsida; Rosales; Rosaceae. The transcript has 4 exons.
UCUAAAGUCCCAAAACCUUCAACAAGUCCUCGUCAAAUCCUAAAACCCCAAAAACCACCCCUUCAGCCAUGGCUUCCUUCGCCGCCAGGUCUGUCCUCCGCUCCACCGCGGCUCGAGCCACCGUCGGAUCGAGGCUCGCUUCCGCCGCCAGACCCAAACCAGCCUCCUCGCCAUUUCGCAUCCCCAAACUAAACCAAAGCUCCACCUCUCCUCGCAUUUUCAGGUCGCCUGUGGAGUUGAGCUGCUGUGUGGAGACGAUGCUUCCGUACCACACAGCCACAGCCUCUGCAUUGCUCACUUCGAUGCUCUCUGUCUCUCAGCGCUCCUACGGUUGGACCCCUGAAGAUUGCAAUGAUGAUGUAUGAUGAAUAUCAGAGGGUUCGAGCAAAGUUUUAUGUACUUGCGCCCUAAGACAAGAUGGAUGAUUAUUAUCUGUUGGGAUGCGGUGCAUUGAUCGUAGUUUUCAUUGGAUUUCAAUCGACUUUUUAGGACUUUGCUUGAGGCAUGCUUCAUCAUAGUUGGCUGUGAUAAUUCACAGAAAUGUUUUUGGUUCUACAAUCAUUUUGAGGAAGUAGAUGUCAUGAUGAUUUAUAUUGUUUUUAUAUAAUUUUCCAAUUUCUAAAUCCUGUUCAUGAUGAGGUUGAGGUUGAACUUAUUGAUCCAAGCUAUGGAUCAUCUUCCCUUCUCCUCAAUUCUCAUGAUUCUGAUCCUACUAAGUAAAUAUAUCUUUUACUUAA